RNAcentral lists this ribosomal RNA (496 nucleotides) under uncultured bacterium. RNAcentral's name for it is "partial 16S ribosomal RNA". It matches the Rfam family "Bacterial small subunit ribosomal RNA", at positions 29 to 507 of the family's 1533-position model. The record is from RNAcentral.
AUGAACGCUGGCGGCGUGCCUAAUACAUGCAAGUCGAGCGAACAGACGAGGAGCUUGCUCCUCUGACGUUAGCGGCGGACGGGUGAGUAACACGUGGAUAACCUACCUAUAAGACUGGGAUAACUUCGGGAAACCGGAGCUAAUACCGGAUAAUAUAUUGAACCGCAUGGUUCAAUAGUGAAAGACGGUUUUGCAGUCACUUAUAGAUGGAUCCGCGCCGCAUUAGCUAGUUGGUAAGGUAACGGCUUACCAAGGCAACGAUGCGUAGCCGACCUGAGAGGGUGAUCGGCCACACUGGAACUGAGACACGGUCCAGACUCCUACGGGAGGCAGCAGUAGGGAAUCUUCCGCAAUGGGCGAAAGCCUGACGGAGCAACGCCGCGUGAGUGAUGAAGGUCUUCGGAUCGUAAAACUCUGUUAUUAGGGAAGAACAAAUGUGUAAGUAACUAUGCACGUCUUGACGGUACCUAAUCAGAAAGCCACGGCUAACUACGUG